This 806-nucleotide ribosomal RNA is filed under the name uncultured euryarchaeote. Its description in RNAcentral is "bacterial SSU rRNA". It matches the Rfam family "Archaeal small subunit ribosomal RNA", at positions 48 to 859 of the family's 1478-position model. Lineage: Archaea; Methanobacteriati; Methanobacteriota. The record is from RNAcentral.
GCCAUGCGAGUCGAGAGGGUUCGGCCCUCGGCAGACUGCUCAGUAACGCGUGGAUAACCUACCCUUAGGUGGAGGAUAAUCUCGGGAAACUGAGAAUAAUACUCCAUAGAUCUAGAAUGCUGGAAUGUGCCUAGAUUAAAAGUUCAGGCGCCUAAGGAUGGGUCUGCGGACUAUCAGGUUGUAGUCAGGGUAAUGACCUGACUAGCCUACGACGGAUAUGGGUUGUGAGAGCAAUAGCCCAGAGACGAUAUCUGAGACACGAUAUCGGGCCCUACGGGGCGCAGCAGGCGCGAAAUCUUCACAAUGUGCGAAAGCACGAUGAGGGAAUCCCAAGUGCUGGCACGUAAGUGUCAGCUGUUUCUUAGUCUAAAAAACUUAGAGAGUAAGGGCUGGGUAAGACGGGUGCCAGCCGCCGCGGUAAUACCUGCAGCUCGAGUGGUGGCCGCUAUUAUUGGGCCUAAAACGUCCGUAGCCGGUUUAGUAAAUGCUUGGGUAAAUUGUGUAGCUUAACUAUACGAAUACCGAGUAGACUGCUAAACUUGGGACCGGGAGAGGUUAGAGGUACUCCUGGGGUAGAGGUGAAAUUCUGUAAUCCUGGGGGGACCACCAGUGGCGAAGGCGUCUAACCAGAACGGGUCUGACGGUGAGGGACGAAGCCCUGGGGCGCAAACCGGAUUAGAUACCCGGGUAGUCCAGGGCGCAAACGCUGCUUGCUUGAUGUUAGCUGGGCUCCGAGCUCAAUUAGUGUCGGAGAGAAGUUGUUAAGCAAGCUGCCUGGGAAGUACGAUCGCAAGAUUGAAACUUAA